Molecule: ribosomal RNA, 1081 nt
Filed under: Rhodotorula sp. VITJzN03
Lineage: Eukaryota; Fungi; Basidiomycota; Microbotryomycetes; Sporidiobolales; Sporidiobolaceae
Description: eukaryotic LSU rRNA
Rfam family: Eukaryotic large subunit ribosomal RNA
Source: RNAcentral
GAUCUCAAAUCAGGUAGGACUACCCGCUGAACUUAAGCAUAUCAAUAAGCGGAGGAAAAGAAACUAACAAGGAUUCCCCUAGUAGCGGCGAGCGAAGCGGGAAGAGCUCAAAUUUAUAAUCUGGCACCUUCGGUGUCCGAGUUGUAAUCUCUAGAAAUGUUUUCCGCGUUGGACCGCACACAAGUCUGUUGGAAUACAGCGGCAUAGUGGUGAGACCCCCGUAUAUGGUGCGGACGCCCAGCGCUUUGUGAUACAUUUUCGAAGAGUCGAGUUGUUUGGGAAUGCAGCUCAAAUUGGGUGGUAAAUUCCAUCUAAAGCUAAAUAUUGGCGAGAGACCGAUAGCGAACAAGUACCGUGAGGGAAAGAUGAAAAGCACUUUGGAAAGAGAGUUAACAGUACGUGAAAUUGUUGGAAGGGAAACGCUUGAAGUCAGACUUGCUUGCCGAGCAAUCGGUUUGCAGGCCAGCAUCAGUUUUCCGGGAUGGAUAAUGGUAGAGAGAAGGUAGCAGUUUCGGCUGUGUUAUAGCUCUCUGCUGGAUACAUCUUGGGGGACUGAGGAACGCAGUGUGCCUUUGGCGGGGGUUUCGACCUCUUCACACUUAGGAUGCUGGUGGAAUGGCUUUAAACGACCCGUCUUGAAACACGGACCAAGGAGUCUAACAUGCUUGCGAGUAUUUGGGUGUCAAACCCGGAUGCGUAAUGAAAGUGAAUGGAGGUGGGAACCGCAAGGUGCACCAUCGACCGAUCUGGAUUUUUAAUGAUGGAUUUGAGUAAGAGCACGUAUGUUGGGACCCGAAAGAUGGUGAACUAUGCCUGAAUAGGGCGAAGCCAGAGGAAACUCUGGUGGAGGCUCGUAGCGGUUCUGACGUGCAAAUCGAUCGUCAAAUUUGGGUAUAGGGGCGAAAGACUAAUCGAACCAUCUAGUAGCUGGUUCCUGCCGAAGUUUCCCUCAGGAUAGCAGAAACUCACAUCAGUUCUAUGAGGUAAAGCGAAUGAUUAGAGGCCUUGGGGUUGAAACAACCUUAACCUAUUCUCAAACUUUAAAUAUGUAGGAAGUCCUUGCUACUUAAUGAGCGAGGAC